UACGAAGGGGGCUAGCGUUGCUCGGAAUCACUGGGCGUAAAGGGUGCGUAGGCGGGUUUUUAAGUCAGAGGUGAAAUCCUGGAGCUCAACUCCAGAACUGCCUUUGAUACUGAAAGUCUUGAGUAUGGGAGAGGUGAGUGGAACUGCGAGUGUAGAGGUGAAAUUCGUAGAUAUUCGCAAGAACACCAGUGGCGAAGGCGGCUCACUGGCCCAUAACUGACACUAAGAUGCGAAAGCGUGGGGAGCAAACGGG
RNAcentral lists this ribosomal RNA (253 nucleotides) under uncultured bacterium. RNAcentral's name for it is "partial 16S ribosomal RNA". It matches the Rfam family "Bacterial small subunit ribosomal RNA", at positions 524 to 776 of the family's 1533-position model. The record is from RNAcentral.